Molecule: non-coding RNA, 114 nt
Organism: Biomphalaria glabrata
Lineage: Eukaryota; Metazoa; Mollusca; Gastropoda; Planorbidae
Source: Rfam
GUGGGCUACGGUGACAUGUACCCCAAGACGACUUGGGGCUAUUUCGUUGGCGCUGCCACUGGGAUCGCUGGAGUCCUUCUCAUCAGCUUCACUGUGCCGGUGCUUGUGAACAAC